This 594-nucleotide long non-coding RNA is filed under the name Arabidopsis lyrata. RNAcentral's name for it is "long non-coding RNA (ALYR_LNC000257)". Lineage: Eukaryota; Viridiplantae; Streptophyta; Magnoliopsida; Brassicales; Brassicaceae. The record is from RNAcentral.
CAGGGCCGUAACUGAGCACAGCCGGGUGAAACAUUCGUGUUGGGCCCCCAAAUUUUUAACGAGUAAUAUGUAUAGAUUUUGAGGCCCCCAAACAGUAAAAAAAAAUUUAUAUAUAGAUUAUGAGACCCCCAAACCGUAAUUGUUUGUGGCCCCAUAACUCGUAGGGCCGGCCCUACCAAUAACAUUCAAAUUCUCUAUUAUUCGACAAUUGAACCGAAGGCUUCAUAUCCAGCUUCUCGAUUUUCCGGAGAAGAAGACGUGAUGGAAGAGAAACCACUCGGAAAGGGCCUCGAUUCUGGCAUUUACAAGGUAUAGAAAACGUAGGUUCUAAUUUCAAUUGUUACAUAUGGUUUCUAGGGUUUUUAGUUGUCACAUCCAUGGGACGGUAUACAUUUUUUUGUUCGAUUCUUUUUUCUAAUUCUCACUUUUAGUGGUUUUGGACUGUCUUGGUUUCUGAUUGGCCAUAUCUUCAUUUCUCCUUAGGCUUUUGUGGUCGCUUCUAAAACCGAAAGGAGCAGAUUGGAUGUGAGCUUUUUGGAAUGUGAUGAUAUAUCGUGGAUAUCUGGUUCUGAAACUUGAGAAGAGUUUCAGACG